ACUUUAUGCUGCUUUACUCCUGGUGCAAAAAUUCAAGCAGUUCAGUUUGGUGGUUUGAUGGCUUGUGAUCAUCCAUCUUCCUCUUGAUUAAAUUCGAGAGGUUUUCAAUUUGGUAAAAUCAAAGAAAAUCAUCAUUUUUUAGAGUAAGUGGUCUCUUAUUUUUUGCCCAGAGCUGCAUAUCAUGAGGCCAGUAAACUACGAUAAACAAUAGCCCCGGCCCAGAACUAAUCUCUGAUAUCAGAAACACAGAGAGUCUGUUUCCGUCAGCGUCAGAGUGAUUCGACCCGACGCUCUGCUGAUGUUAUUUAAGGUCUCAGGUUUCCCCGAGUGGAUUAAUGAUACAGUGUAAUCGUAUUACAGUAAGAGUUCAGAUUAAAAACAGCAGAAUUCUCUUUACACCAUUUCCUCAUUCCCAACCACCAACCACAGCCCUGACCUUUCUGCAUUCUUUCACUUCCAGAGUUCAGAGAGAACGCAGUGAGGAAUGCGUCCCUCACCGUCAGUCACAACAAGACCAACGACGGCCGUCCCGUUCUGAGCUGGAUCCUGAGCGCCCCCUGCAGCCUGGAGGCUGAAGUGUGGCCGUGCCGGAUGGGGGCGGGGCCGGGAAGCGACUGUAAGGAGGUGCCGGGGUUCAGAGUCAACCAUACCAAGGAUUUGAUAUGGUCUGAGAACAGCUCCACGCUGUGGAUCUCGGGGGAGUUUGUGAACAUCAGCUCCCACAGACACUUCCUGCACUGUGUGAAGUUUAAGGUGGACGGGGUGAUAUCUGAUCCUGUGUGUCAGUAUAACACCCGUAGGUGGCGCUGGAGCGCUCCUGUGCUCGUGGCUCUGCUGGUUUUCGGCCUGGUUGGAGUUGGAGUGUGUUUGUUGAGGAGGAGAAUCAGAGGUCAGUUGAAGCUGUUAAUGAUUUUUAAGGCAUUAAAAAAACAGCAUAUCAUAUUAAUCUGAAUGAAGAACAGUAAAUAAUGUAGGUAGAAAUAAAGAUUCUAAAGUUUAAAAAACUACUGCA
This 1012-nucleotide long non-coding RNA is filed under the name Astyanax mexicanus (Mexican tetra). RNAcentral describes it as "lncRNA (ENSAMXG00005008559.1)". Lineage: Eukaryota; Metazoa; Chordata; Actinopteri; Characiformes; Acestrorhamphidae. The record is from RNAcentral.